CGGGUUAGUGGCGGACGGGUGAGUAACGCGUGAGAAUCUGCCCUCAGGAGGGGGAUAACAGCUGGAAACGGCUGCUAAUACCCCAUAUGCCGCGAGGUGAAAUGAAUUUCGCCUGAGGAUGAGCUCGCGUCUGAUUAGCUAGUUGGUGUGGGUAACGGCUCACCAAGGCAUCGAUCAGUAGCUGGUCUGAGAGGAUGAUCAGCCACACUGGGACUGAGACACGGCCCAGACUCCUACGGGAGGCAGCAGUGGGGAAUUUUCCGCAAUGGGCGAAAGCCUGACGGAGCAACGCCGCGUGAGGGAUGAAGGCCUCUGGGCUGUAAACCUCUUUUAUCAAGGAAGAAGAUCUGACGGUACUUGAUGAAUAAGCCACGGCUAAUUCCGUGC
RNAcentral lists this ribosomal RNA (387 nucleotides) under uncultured bacterium. RNAcentral describes it as "bacterial SSU rRNA". It matches the Rfam family "Bacterial small subunit ribosomal RNA", at positions 88 to 508 of the family's 1533-position model. The record is from RNAcentral.